Molecule: ribosomal RNA, 253 nt
Filed under: uncultured bacterium
Lineage: Bacteria
Description: partial 16S ribosomal RNA
Rfam family: Bacterial small subunit ribosomal RNA
Source: RNAcentral
UACGUAGGUGGCAAGCGUUAUCCGGAAUUACUGGGCGUAAAGCGCACGCAGGCGGCUCUUUAAGUUUGACGUGAAAGCUCUCGGCUUAACUGGGAGAGGUCGUUGAAUACUGAGGAGCUUGAGGCAAUGAGAGGGGUGUAGAAUUCCCGGUGUAGUGGUGGAAUGCGUAGAGAUCCGGAAGAACACCGGUGGCGAAGGCGGCCUGCUGGGCAGUAGCUGACGCUGAGGCGCGACAGCGUGGGGAGCAAACAGG